GAUGAACGCUGGCGGCGUGCCUAAUACAUGCAAGUAGAACGCUGAAGGAGGAGCUUGCUCUUCUGGAUGAGUUGCGAACGGGUGAGUAACGCGUAGGUAACCUGCCUGGUAGCGGGGGAUAACUAUUGGAAACGAUAGCUAAUACCGCAUGACAACAGUUAUUGCAUGAUAACUGUUGAAAAGGGGCAACUGCUGCACUACCAGAUGGACCUGCGUUGUAUUAGCUAGGUGGUGAGGUAACGGCUCACCAAGGCGACGAUACAUAGCCGACCUGAGAGGGGGCUCGGCCACCCUGGGACUGUGACCCGGCCCAGACUCCUUCGGGAGGCAGCAGUAGGGCAUCUUCGUCCAUGGGCGGAAGUCUGACCGAGCAACGCCGCGUGAGUGAAGAAGGUUUUCGGAUCGUAAAGCUCUGUUGUAAGAGAAGAACGAGUGUGAGAGUGGAAAGUUCACACUGUGACGGUAUCUUACCAGAAAGGGACGGCUAACUACGUG
RNAcentral lists this ribosomal RNA (495 nucleotides) under uncultured bacterium. RNAcentral describes it as "partial 16S ribosomal RNA". It matches the Rfam family "Bacterial small subunit ribosomal RNA", at positions 28 to 507 of the family's 1533-position model. The record is from RNAcentral.